UACGUAGGGUGCAAGCGUUGUCCGGAAUUAUUGGGCGUAAAGAGCGCGCAGGCGGUCGUGCAAGUCGCGUGUGAAAGCCCCCGGCUCAACUGGGGAGGGUCACGCGAUACUGCUCGACUUGAAGGCAGGAGAGGGAAGUGGAAUUCCCGGUGUAGUGGUGAAAUGCGUAGAUAUCGGGAGGAAUACCGGUGGCGAAGGCGGCAUCCUGGACCGGCAUUGACGCUGAAGCGCGAAAGCUAGGGGAGCAAACGGG
RNAcentral lists this ribosomal RNA (253 nucleotides) under uncultured bacterium. RNAcentral's name for it is "partial 16S ribosomal RNA". It matches the Rfam family "Bacterial small subunit ribosomal RNA", at positions 524 to 776 of the family's 1533-position model. The record is from RNAcentral.